GAUCCUGGCUCAGGAUGAACGCUAGCUACAGGCUUAACACAUGCAAGUCGCAGGGUAACGUGAGGGAAGCUUGCUUCCCUUGACGACGACUGGCGCACGGGUGAGUAACGCGUAUCCAACCUUCCCAUGACCACGGGAUAACCCGUUGAAAGACGGACUAAUACCGUAUGACGUCGUUUGCUGACAUCAAAUAACGAUUAAAGGUUUGGCGGUGAUGGAUGGGGAUGCGUCUGAUUAGCUUGUUGGCGGGG
Molecule: ribosomal RNA, 251 nt
Filed under: uncultured bacterium
Lineage: Bacteria
Description: partial 16S ribosomal RNA
Rfam family: Bacterial small subunit ribosomal RNA
Source: RNAcentral